GACGGUGGCCAUGGAAGUCGG
RNAcentral lists this non-coding RNA (21 nucleotides) under Xenopus tropicalis (tropical clawed frog). Lineage: Eukaryota; Metazoa; Chordata; Amphibia; Anura; Pipidae. The record is from RNAcentral. RNAcentral also lists the same sequence under 1 other name.